This 279-nucleotide ribosomal RNA is filed under the name uncultured bacterium. RNAcentral's name for it is "partial 16S ribosomal RNA". It matches the Rfam family "Bacterial small subunit ribosomal RNA", at positions 506 to 784 of the family's 1533-position model. The record is from RNAcentral.
UGCCAGCAGCCGCGGUAAUACGAACUGUGCAAACGUUAUUCGGAAUCACUGGGCUUAAAGGGUGCGUAGGCGGGUUUAAAGGUCUGAUGUGAAAGCCCACGGCUCAACCGUGGAAUUGCGUUGGAAACCAUAAGCCUUGAGGAGAUCAGAGGUGAGCGGAACUGAUGGUGGAGCGGUGAAAUGCGUUGAUAUCAUCAGGAACACCGGUGGCGAAAGCGGCUCACUGGGAUCUUUCUGACGCUGAGGCACGAAAGCUAGGGGAGCGAACGGGAUUAGAUA